ACCAGACGAUGCGGUUACCGCGGCUGCUGGCACGGAGUUAGCCGGUGCUUCUUCUGUGAGUGAUGUCCUUCCUGCCGGCUAUUAACCCGCAGGCCUUCUUCCUCACUGAAAGUGCUUUACAACCCGAAGGCCUUCUUCACACACGCGGCAUGGCCGGAUCAGGGUUGCCCCCAUUGUCCAAUAUUCCCCACUGCUGCCUCCCGUAGGAGUCUGGGCCGUGUCUCAGUCCCAGUGUGGCUGAUCAUCCUCUCAGACCAGCUACGGAUCGUCGCCUUGGUGAGCCGUUACCUCACCAACCAGCUAAUCCGACAUAGGCUCAUCCGAUAGCGCGAGGCCCGAAGGUCCCCCGCUUUCCCCGUAGGCGUAUGCGGUAUUAGCCUGGGUUCCCCAGGUUACUCCCCACUACCGGGCAGAUUCCUAUGCAUUACUCACCCGUCCGCCGCUCGCCACCAGGGAGCAAGCUCCCGUGCUGCCGCUCGACUUGCAUGUGUUAGGCCUGCCGCCAGCGUUCAAU
This 514-nucleotide ribosomal RNA is filed under the name uncultured bacterium. RNAcentral's name for it is "partial 16S ribosomal RNA". The record is from RNAcentral.